GUAACAGCGCAGGGGGUGCCUAAUACUUGCAUUCGAGCGGACAGAUGGGGCUUGCUCCCUGAUGUUAGCGGCGGACGGGUGAGUAACACGUGGGUAACCUGCCUGUAAGACUGGGAUAACUCCGGGAAACCGGGGCUAAUACCGGAUGGUUGUUUGAACCGCAUGGUUCAGACAUAAAAGGUGGCUUGGCUACCACUUACAGAUGGACCCGCGGCGCAUAGCUAGUUGGUGAGGUAACGGCUCACCAAGGCAACGAUGCGUAGCCGACCUGAGAGGGUGAUCGGCCACACUGGGACUGAGACACGGCCCAGACUCCUACGGGAGGCACAGUAGGGAAUCUUCCGCAAUGGACGAAAGUCUGACGGAGCAACGCCGCGUGAGUGAUGAAGGUUUUCGGAUCGUAAAGCUCUGUUGUUAGGGAAGAACAUGCCGUUCAAAUAGGGCGGCACCUUGACGGUACCUAACCAGAA
This 470-nucleotide ribosomal RNA is filed under the name Bacillus subtilis. Its description in RNAcentral is "bacterial SSU rRNA". It matches the Rfam family "Bacterial small subunit ribosomal RNA", at positions 32 to 488 of the family's 1533-position model. The record is from RNAcentral. Lineage: Bacteria; Bacillati; Bacillota; Bacilli; Caryophanales; Bacillaceae.